GUGGGGAAUUUUGGACAAUGGGCGAAAGCCUGAUCCAGCCAUGCCGCGUGCAGGAUGAAGGCCUUCGGGUUGUAGACUGCUUUUGUACGGAACGAAAAGACUCCUACUAAUAAAGGGGGUCCAUGACGGUACCGUAAGAAUAAGCACCGGCUAACUACGUGCCAGCAGCCGCGGUAAUACGUAGGGUGCAAGCGUUAAUCGGAAUUACUGGGCGUAAAGCGUGCGCAGGCGGUUAUAUAAGACAGAUGUGAAAUCCCCGGGCUCAACCUGGGAACUGCAUUUGUGACUGUAUAGCUAGAGUACGGUAGAGGGGGAUGGAAUUCCGCGUGUAGCAGUGAAAUGCGUAGAUAUGCGGAGGAACACCGAUGGCGAAGGCAAUCCCCUGGACCUGUACUGACGCUCAUGCACGAAAGCGUGGGGAGCAAACAGGAUUAGAUACCCUAGUAGUCC
RNAcentral lists this ribosomal RNA (450 nucleotides) under uncultured bacterium. RNAcentral describes it as "partial 16S ribosomal RNA". It matches the Rfam family "Bacterial small subunit ribosomal RNA", at positions 354 to 796 of the family's 1533-position model. The record is from RNAcentral.